RNAcentral lists this long non-coding RNA (222 nucleotides) under Mytilus galloprovincialis (Mediterranean mussel). The record is from RNAcentral. Lineage: Eukaryota; Metazoa; Mollusca; Bivalvia; Mytilida; Mytilidae.
CAAUAUAGAACUCGUCAAUAUUACUGGCUGUAAACUGAUGGUCUCGAAAUAUGCACGGUGGCAGUGCUUCUAUAAGGACAUGAAUAGUAACAUACCUUACUUUAGUUCUCAAUAGAAAACACACAAAUCAUGUCGUACUCCUAAGAAGCUAAAUACUGAUACAAAAGUAGAGAAAGUUCAAAGAUGUUAGUCAAAGUCCUCACUAACAGAAGAAAAGCCCAU